Zingiber officinale is the source of this 786-nucleotide long non-coding RNA. RefSeq lists it as uncharacterized. The record is from RefSeq and is a predicted model, not a curated record. Lineage: Eukaryota; Viridiplantae; Streptophyta; Magnoliopsida; Zingiberales; Zingiberaceae. The transcript has 3 exons.
UAACGCAGAAGCCACCUCCCUGUCACCCACCUCCCAACCCCGACUUCAUUUCUCCCAAGCAAGGGAGCCCGGGGGCCUUUAAAUAGGGCGGCAAGAGGGAUUUUCCACAAGCCCUAAAUCUCCCACAUCCGCCGCCGCCUCCUACCCGACAGAACCUGGACGCCGAGUUUUGGAGCGACGCCACCUCCAAUGCCACUGGAACUCCUCCUCUAGUCCUCUCGCGGAUCGACUUCAUCGGAUCAGGUCACUGAGCUUGGUCGACGGCUUAUGGUCCAACACCCUCUUUCAACCAUAGGAGCUAUAGCAGCCAUCUUCUGACAAGCCGGCCAACAACUCAACAGUGAGAACAACAGCAAGAUCCAUCACUGCAAAAUUUUCUUGUGCAGUGGGAUGUUCCAGCUUGGCUGGAGAGAUGAGGAUAAAUGGAGCGUGAUUUUAGUUUAUCCAUGGAACUUCAUGAAGGAAAAAAAAACAACUCUAAAUUGAGCUUGGCAUGGGAGGUAUUGGAAAGAUUUGUAGCGAGGCAAGGAAUUUGUUGCAGGCAUGUCGGAUUUGAUUUAUCACCGACAUGUUACCGUUAUAAUGUAAGGUUCUGUUGCCUCGUCUGCAAUAUUACUUAUUUCAAUCCAUGAGUUGGUGUAAGCGAUGAAUAUUUUCAUCCUCAAUAUUUGUGGAUUGUGUUUUUAUUUCUGUACUAAUUAAUAUUUUAACUAGUUAGUUAGUUAGUUAUAUAUUACAUUUCUAUUAUAACAUUUGUAUUAUAAUGUAUUUGACGCGUGUAAGAGA